AUACAUGUGCAUCAGAGUACAUCAUUGAUGAAUACAAUCAUCUGGCUUAGCCAUAAGGCUAGAAAAUAACAGCGGAAGUCUAUUAAAAUGGCGGCGGAUGUCUUGGUUUGACAGCAUAACAACUCUGGCUGGGCUCCACAACUCACAGGACUGGCAAGAUUACGGCCUAGCACGACGGAUCAACCGAGCAAUACGGGUACGACCUACAAAACUGGCAUGACACGCCAGGUCAGUACAUUGAAUGUACUUGCAAGACAACCAAAUACAUAGCAUCCAAACAAGCAGAAGACAAAGCAAGAACCGAGCGCAUGCAACACCCUAUCUCAUAUCAAUUACUAAACAUGGCAUGAUAAAAAUCAACUAAGCAUGAACAAAAUCAUAACAUCUACUAACAUGGCAAUGACAUGGCAUAUCAGAACAUGAUUAUAACAUUGUAAUAGCAAAACAUAGAAUUUUAUCUCAAUCAUGGCAUAACUUAACAUGUCAAUCAAAGCAUAGCAUGGCAUCAAGAGACUAUGCUGAAAAUAAACUACCAAUAAUAUCCAAUGCAGACAUAGCAUGUUAACAUUAUGCAAUCAUCUUCUGUUCUAUCAUGGUUCUUCAAAUGCAAAUAAUGAUAUAUUAUUCCAGCAAUGUAACCAAACUUGUGCACCGAGUCCCUCAGACUCUCUUAUCAACUGUGAUCAUCUCUGGAACACAAACACACCACCAAAGUGGUCUUUCUCAAGAACAACUCGUGAUCCUUACGGCGAUCACAACCACGACCAACACUUGGUCUCCAACCGUGAUUCUUACGGCAAUCACAACCACGACCAAUAUUUGGCCCGUGAUCCUUACGGCGAUCACAACCACUUAUCUCAUCAUCAAGAUAUCGUCGUGACUCCUCACGACAAUCUCAUAGUUCAAGUUACCAUAUUCUUGUUAUCACAUAUUUAUUUACCAAUUUAAUUAUUUCAGGUUUAUCCUCCAUUUCGACCAAGACCUGAUAGUGGGACCUACUAUGAACUGUUGCUAUCGAUAGACUUUAUACACUCCGCAGAGGUAGCACACUGUACCCACAUCACGGAACCCAUGGCCUCGGCAUCCCAUUUGGGUGGACCAACGGCAUUCCGGUGAAACCAACCUACUGCCAUGACGCUCUCCCGGCCACUCCGACCCAAUCCCCAACGGGUUGGUCCUGGGUGGCCCCGUGUCUACCAAAGACACCCCGACCACCGUCGUGGUCACCUCCCACUCGGGGACACUCCCACUCGGGGAUUGGUACCAAAAAUCUCAAAAACGAGAACACAAGGUUAUGUCCGCUUAUCUGAUCUGGGUAAGCACGCCCAUAACCUUCCCUAGUGGGAGGCACCGGCGAGAGGUCACGACAAUAGCUCGCAUUAAGGCCUUCCCACAAAGGCAAAUGUGGCUGCACUGAAAAAGUUCGAUUUGGUGGCACUAUGCCUCGAUCCCAUCGAUGACGGAGGAGGUUUGUUAUUAUUAAGUCAUUUUAUUUCCUUCUCCAUCAUCAUGAACAUAUUUAACACGAGUGCAACAUGCCGCAUACAAAUGCACGAACAAAAUAUUGAACUCCUCAAGUGCACAACUAUAACAUAAAGGACACGACAAUAGUAUAUCAACGGUGCAUUACAAUCCUCAUAACAGUUUAUAACAUUAACAUGCAAAUAAAGUAGAGUAGUGGCAUGCAUUAUUAAUAAUAACAUUCUAAUUAACAUGGCAAAGGUAUCAUGAAACACAAGCAUGCAAGAUAGGCAUAAAGAAAUAAUUGCCGAUGAAAAUGAUAUAAAACAACUGCAACUACACACACACACAAGGUGCAAGCAAAGUCAACAUGCAAGUUCGGGGCUCAUGAUAAGAGGUUGGCUUGCCUGGGGGUCGACAAAGACUCCGGGAAUAAGUGCGAAAUGAUCGCGAAAAGAUUUGCCGGAAACAGUUCCUUCUCGGAGGGGGCUGUUUACGGGCAAGGGCAAAAACGUCAUUUUCACUAUGUGAAAAUAUUAUGGAAAUGAUAUCAACGGAACGGGCUCGACGAAACAAAGACGUGGGCUUUGGAAUCACCUGAUUCGAAGCUAC
This 2073-nucleotide long non-coding RNA is filed under the name Triticum aestivum (bread wheat). RNAcentral describes it as "long non-coding RNA (TAES_LNC028608)". The record is from RNAcentral. Lineage: Eukaryota; Viridiplantae; Streptophyta; Magnoliopsida; Poales; Poaceae.